UACGGGGGGGAGCAAGCGUUGUUCGGAUUUACUGGGCGUAAAGGGCGCGUAGGCGGCACGGCAAGUCAGGAGUGAAAGCCCUGGGCUCAACCCGGGAACUGCUUUUGAAACUGCCGAGCUAGAGUGCGGAAGGGGCAACUGGAAUUCCCAGUGUAGCGGUGAAAUGCGUAGAUAUCGAGAGGAACACCUGCGGCGAAGGCGGGUUGCUGGGCUGACACUGACGCUGAUGCGCGAAAGCGUGGGGAGCGAACAGG
This 254-nucleotide ribosomal RNA is filed under the name uncultured bacterium. Its description in RNAcentral is "partial 16S ribosomal RNA". It matches the Rfam family "Bacterial small subunit ribosomal RNA", at positions 524 to 776 of the family's 1533-position model. The record is from RNAcentral.